AACGAACGCUGGCGGCAUGCCUAACACAUGCAAGUCGAACGAGACCUUCGGGUCUAGUGGCGCACGGGUGCGUAACGCGUGGGAACCUGCCCUUAGGUUCGGCAUAACUCCCCGAAAGGGGUGCUAAUACCGGAUAAUGUCUUCGGACCAAAGAUUUAUCGCCUUUGGAUGGGCCCGCGUUGGAUUAGCUCGUUGGUAGGGUAAAAGCCUACCAAGGCGACGAUCCAUAGCUGGUCUGAGAGGAUGAUCAGCCACACUGGGACUGAGACACGGCCCAGACUCCUACGGGAGGCAGCAGUGGGGAAUAUUGGACAAUGGGCGAAAGCCUGAUCCAGCAAUGCCGCGUGAGUGAUGAAGGCCUUAGGGUUGUAAAGCUCUUUUACCCGGGAUGAUAAUGACAGUACCGGGAGAAUAAGCUCCGGCUAACUCCGUG
RNAcentral lists this ribosomal RNA (433 nucleotides) under uncultured bacterium. RNAcentral describes it as "partial 16S ribosomal RNA". It matches the Rfam family "Bacterial small subunit ribosomal RNA", at positions 29 to 507 of the family's 1533-position model. The record is from RNAcentral.